This 332-nucleotide ribosomal RNA is filed under the name uncultured eukaryote. Its description in RNAcentral is "partial 18S ribosomal RNA". It matches the Rfam family "Eukaryotic small subunit ribosomal RNA", at positions 1470 to 1796 of the family's 1831-position model. The record is from RNAcentral.
CCCUUAGAUGUUCUGGGCUGCACACGUGCUACACUGGUAGGUUCAGCGAGCUUCAUGCCCUGAUCUGAAAGGAAUGGGAAAUCUUUUCAAAACCUGCCGUGCUUGGGAUAGAUGUUUGCAAUUAUUCAUCUUCAACGAGGAUUGCCUUGUAAGCGCACGUCGUCAGCGUGCAUUGAAUACGACCCUGUAUUCUGUACACACCGCCCGUCGCUCCUACCGAUUGAAGUUUUCGGUGAGUUGACAGGAGGAUUUUUUUGAAACUGGUUCGCCAGUGGAUUUUAGAUCCAAAUGCCAACGAAUCGAUGGCUUUAGAGGAAGGAGAAGUCGUAACA